Molecule: non-coding RNA, 150 nt
Filed under: Nomascus leucogenys (northern white-cheeked gibbon)
Lineage: Eukaryota; Metazoa; Chordata; Mammalia; Primates; Hylobatidae
Source: Rfam by way of RNAcentral
GCCGGGCGUGGUGGCGGGCGCCUGUAGUCCCAGCUACUCAGGAGGCUGAGGCAGGAGAAUCGCUUGAACCCAGGAGGUGGAGAGGUUGCAGUGAGCCGAGAUGGCACCACUGCACUCCAGCCUGGGCAACAGAGCAAGACUCUGUCUCAA